Molecule: transfer RNA, 72 nt
Filed under: Tuber melanosporum (Perigord truffle)
Lineage: Eukaryota; Fungi; Ascomycota; Pezizomycetes; Pezizales; Tuberaceae
Description: tRNA-Gln (TTG) (tRNA-Gln-TTG-2-1)
Rfam family: tRNA
About the family: Transfer RNA (tRNA) molecules are approximately 80 nucleotides in length. Their secondary structure includes four short double-helical elements and three loops (D, anti-codon, and T loops). Further hydrogen bonds mediate the characteristic L-shaped molecular structure. tRNAs have two regions of fundamental functional importance: the anti-codon, which is responsible for specific mRNA codon recognition, and the 3' end, to which the tRNAs corresponding amino acid is attached (by aminoacyl-tRNA synthetases). tRNAs cope with the degeneracy of the genetic code in two manners: having more than one tRNA (with a specific anti-codon) for a particular amino acid; and 'wobble' base-pairing, i.e. permitting non-standard base-pairing at the 3rd anti-codon position.
Source: RNAcentral
GGUUUUGUAGUGUAAUGGCUAGCACUCGGGAUUUUGAUUCCCGCAAUCUGGGUUCGAUCCCCAGCAAGACCU